AGGCUGGCAGGCGUAGCUGGUUCGUCCUGCCCGCCAGGCAGGACGUCGCAAGAGGGAACCCGGUGGAAUUCCGGGACUGCCCCGCAGCGGUGAGUGGGAACGACCGCCGUCACACAGCACUGGGCCCGAGGGGUCCGGGAAGCGACGGCCAGUAGGUGUCCGCCUCGACGGCGGACGCGCCCGCGAGUCCGAAGACCUGCCGGCUGCCCGCGCGUGAC
Molecule: non-coding RNA, 218 nt
Filed under: Streptomyces nanshensis
Lineage: Bacteria; Bacillati; Actinomycetota; Actinomycetes; Kitasatosporales; Streptomycetaceae
Source: RNAcentral